ACCAUGCAAGUCGAACGAGAACAGAAGAGAGCUUGCUCUCUUGCUGCUAAGUGGNNGCAAGGGUGAGUAAUAUAUAGGUAAUAUGCCUCUUACUUAAGGGAUAAUUGUUGGAAACGACUUGUAAUACCUUAUAUGCCUUUUGAACAUAAGUUCGUAAAGGGAAAGAUUUAUCGGUAAGAGAUUAGCCUGUACGGUAUCAGAUAGUUGGUGGGGUAAUGGCCUACCAAGUCUAUGACACCUAACUGGUUUGAGAGGAUGAUCAGUCACACUGGAACUGAGACACGGUCCAGACUCCUACGGGAGGCAGCAGUGGGGAAUAUUGCACAAUGGACGAAAGUCUGAUGCAGCAACGCCGCGUGGAGGAUGACACAUUUCGGUGCGUAAACUCCUUUUAUAUGAGAAGAUAAUGACGGUAUCAUAUGAAUAAGCACCGGCUAACUCCGUGCCAGCAGCCGCGGUAAUACGGGGGGUGCAAGCGUUACUCGGAAUCACUGGGCGUAAAGAGCAUGUAGGCGGGUGAAUAAGUUGGAAGUGAAAUCCUAUAGCUUAACUAUAGAACUGCUUCCAAAACUGUUCACCUAGAGUAUGGGAGAGGUAGAUGGAAUUUCUGGUGUAGGGGUAAAAUCCGUAGAGAUCAGAAGGAAUACCGAUUGCGAAGGCGAUCUACUGGAACAUUACUGACGCUCAGAUGCGAAAGCGUGGGGAGCAAACAGGAUUAGAUACCCUGGUAGUCCACGCCCUAAACGAUGUACACUAGUUGUUGCUAUACUAGAUAUGGCAGUAAUGCAGUUAACACUUUAAGUGUACCGCCUGGGGAGUACGGUCGCAAGAUUAAAAACUCAAAGGAAUA
RNAcentral lists this ribosomal RNA (850 nucleotides) under uncultured Campylobacterota bacterium. Its description in RNAcentral is "bacterial SSU rRNA". It matches the Rfam family "Bacterial small subunit ribosomal RNA", at positions 53 to 911 of the family's 1533-position model. The record is from RNAcentral. Lineage: Bacteria; Pseudomonadati; Campylobacterota.